Molecule: transfer RNA, 73 nt
Organism: Klebsormidium nitens
Lineage: Eukaryota; Viridiplantae; Streptophyta; Klebsormidiophyceae; Klebsormidiales; Klebsormidiaceae
Rfam family: tRNA
About the family: Transfer RNA (tRNA) molecules are approximately 80 nucleotides in length. Their secondary structure includes four short double-helical elements and three loops (D, anti-codon, and T loops).
Source: Rfam
GGCGGAAUAGUUUAGUUGGUUAGAACAGCGGAAUCAUAAUCCGCAUGCAGGGGUUCAAAUCCCUUUUCCGCUA